CAUUUGGGCUGCUAUAAUGCAAGUCGAGCGAACAGAAGGGAGCUUGCUCCCGGAUGUUAGCGGCGGACGGGUGAGUAACACGUGGGUAACCUGCCUGUAAGACUGGGAUAACUCCGGGAAACCGGAGCUAAUACCGGAUAGUUCCUUGAACCGCAUGGUUCAAGGAUGAAAGACGGUUUCGGCUGUCACUUACAGAUGGACCCGCGGCGCAUUAGCUAGUUGGUGGGGUAAUGGCUCACCAAGGCGACGAUGCGUAGCCGACCUGAGAGGGUGAUCGGCCACACUGGGACUGAGACACGGCCCAGACUCCUACGGGAGGCAGCAGUAGGGAAUCUUCCGCAAUGGACGAAAGUCUGACGGAGCAACGCCGCGUGAGUGAUGAAGGUUUUCGGAUCGUAAAGCUCUGUUGUUAGGGAAGAACAAGUGCGAGAGUAACUGCUCGCACCUUGACGGUACCUAACCAGAAAGCCACGGCUAACUACGUGCCAGCAGCCGCGGUAAUACGUAGGUGGCAAGCGUUGUCCGGAAUUAUUGGGCGUAAAGGGCUCGCAGGCGGUUUCUUAAGUCUGAUGUGAAAGCCCCCGGCUCAACCGGGGAGGG
RNAcentral lists this ribosomal RNA (600 nucleotides) under Bacillus safensis. RNAcentral describes it as "bacterial SSU rRNA". It matches the Rfam family "Bacterial small subunit ribosomal RNA", at positions 34 to 622 of the family's 1533-position model. Lineage: Bacteria; Bacillati; Bacillota; Bacilli; Caryophanales; Bacillaceae. The record is from RNAcentral.